This 74-nucleotide transfer RNA is filed under the name Tethya minuta. RNAcentral's name for it is "trnH". It matches the Rfam family "tRNA". Rfam says of the family: Transfer RNA (tRNA) molecules are approximately 80 nucleotides in length. Lineage: Eukaryota; Metazoa; Porifera; Demospongiae; Tethyida; Tethyidae. The record is from RNAcentral.
GGUGAGAAUAGCUUAGAAGGUAGAGCGAUGGUUUGUGGGGCCAAAGGUUAAGAGUUCAAGUCUCUUUUUUUACC